GUUCAAUUUCACCUUUAAGUUUUCUCAAAAGGAGGAGCAUUAAGAAUCAGCCACCUUAGUACAUACUUAAAGAGGAAUGGGAUCCUGUAGGUGAAGAUCAU
This is a long non-coding RNA of Homo sapiens (human), 101 nucleotides long. Ensembl annotates it as long intergenic non-protein coding RNA 2805. The record is from Ensembl. Lineage: Eukaryota; Metazoa; Chordata; Mammalia; Primates; Hominidae.